RNAcentral lists this long non-coding RNA (319 nucleotides) under Lathyrus oleraceus (garden pea). Its description in RNAcentral is "Pisum sativum (pea) long non-coding RNA (PSAT_LNC021487)". Lineage: Eukaryota; Viridiplantae; Streptophyta; Magnoliopsida; Fabales; Fabaceae. The record is from RNAcentral.
GAAAAGUGUGGCUAAAAUGAGAGCUGCUAGAGUGAAAAAGGCUGCAGGGAUAGGACCCUCAAAACCCUGGAGCAAGGUUGAGGUUGGGAAAAGGAAAGAAAGAGAUAUGAGAGCUGCUAGAGUGAAAAAGGCUGCAGGGAUAGGACCCUCAAAACCCUGGAGCAAGGUUGAGGUUGGGAAAAGGAAAGAAAGAGACAGCUCUGACUCUGAGGAGGAUGUUAAAGACGAUGUCCUAGACAUCUCCCCUGCAAAAAGGCAGGUUGUUCAGAAAUCUCUUGGCAAGGCUGCUGCUGUACACCUAGACAAUAUCUCCUUUCAC